GCUCAUCACUGGUCAGGGCUCCCGUUUCCUUUGGGAUGUCAUAGACACCUGUUUGUCCAAAGGAGGCUGAGUCUGCCAGGUGCCUCGGCAGAAGUUGAGCCAAGUCUUGGGCUGCUGACCAUUUGCAGGGGUGGAGCUCUGCCUUGCCAGAAUUUCUCUUCUCUGGAGAAGGAAGACAGAGUUUUUAGUGUCAACAUGUCUGGUAUCAGGAGGUGUGAGUGUAAAGUAACAAAGAGGAGACAAGCUCAAUCCCUGAGAAGGAGUCCUGGAAUCACUGCUCUCUGGGCACUGCUCUGGGAGGUUGGUGUUCAGGGGAGAUGGAGCCCAGCUAUGUUUUCCUAGGUGUGCAUGGCAACCUGCUGAUUGCUGUCUCGCCAGAAUAAACUCUAAACCUUUCCAGCUGCUCUUAAUCUGGCCCCUUAACCUUUAAAAAAACCAGAGGCUUUCCAUUCCUCAGAGCCAAACUUUGCUAACAGUAUCUAGGUUGUUUUCAAACCAAGCUUCAAACAUAAAAAUGACUAAUAAAUCCAUAUUCCAUAAUCGUUAGGCUGGAAAACUAGUAUUUUAAAACAGACUCAGUUUUUAUGACCCAUUUCUAAUAAAAAUCCCAAGUAUGCUUCACUAAUGCUCCCAUUCCAGAUACUCAGAUCCCAGAUGAUAGGCAAGCUAUCCAGAUAGAUGCACCAAUAAAUCUGUAAAGGCUGUAAAUCUGUCUCAAAUUAGUGAUUCGUAGAUGUGGGAGGGAGAAGAGGGCUGGGAAAUGCUGUUUUCUGACCUGCUCGUUUCCCGACUUAAGGCUCUGUCACCUCUCAGCUGGUGCUUGUACUUUUCUGUGGCUUGUAUUAAGUGCUAAAUACAUUACUCCACGCUCUUCGGGGGACCCGGGCUUUUGCACAGACUUUUAGUCUGAUUCCACUGGUGUGAAGAGCAAUUUUGGGUCAGGGUCACGGCCAGAGUGCCCCUGGAAUGCUGAGGAGUGGGAGUGAGGUGGCUUUUGAGGGAGGGAACGGCAGCUUUGGGAUGGAGCUGCAGCCCAGAGAUCCAUAACGCCCUGGGAUUCCCAUUCAGGCUUCCUACUGAAACAACCCCACAGCCUGCAGCGAUCAUAAACCCACAAACAUCCCCUUGCUGACUCUCUUACUGCCUCCUAAUUGCCCCACCCUGACAGGCGGAUUUAUGCCCUGGCUGCCGGCGGCGGUGCCAGGGAGAGGCUGGGAUAGUGGGAUGGGAUAAUGGGAUGGGACAGUGGGAUGGGAUAGUGGAAUGGGAUGGGAUGGGAUGGGAUGGGAUGGGAUGGGAUGGGAUGGGAUGGGAUGGGAUGGGAUGGGAUGGGAUGGGAUGGGAUGGGAUGGGAUGGGAUGGGAU
Molecule: long non-coding RNA, 1365 nt
Filed under: Ficedula albicollis (Collared flycatcher)
Lineage: Eukaryota; Metazoa; Chordata; Aves; Passeriformes; Muscicapidae
Description: lncRNA (ENSFALG00000023023.1)
Source: RNAcentral